CCUACGGGGGGCAGCAGUGAGGAAUAUUGGUCAAUGGACGAGAGUCUGAACCAGCCAAGUAGCGUGAAGGAUGACUGCCCUAUGGGUUGUAAACUUCUUUUAUAUGGGAAUAAAAUGUUCCACGUGUGGGAUUUUGUAUGUACCAUAUGAAUAAGGAUCGGCUAACUCCGUGCCAGCAGCCGCGGUAAUACGGAGGAUCCGAGCGUUAUCCGGAUUGAUUGGGUUUAAAGGGAGCGUAGGUGGAUUGUUAAGUCAGUUGUGAAAGUUUGCGGCUCAACCGUAAAAUUGCAGUUGAAACUGGCAGUCUUGAGUACAGUAGAGGUGGGCGGAAUGCGUGGUGUAGCGGUGAAAUGCUUAGAUAUCACGAAGAACUCCGAUUGCGAAGGCAGCUCACUGGACUGCAACUGACACUGAGGCUCGAAAGUGUGGGUAUCAAACAGGAUUAGAUACCCUUGUAGUC
This 460-nucleotide ribosomal RNA is filed under the name uncultured bacterium. Its description in RNAcentral is "partial 16S ribosomal RNA". It matches the Rfam family "Bacterial small subunit ribosomal RNA", at positions 338 to 795 of the family's 1533-position model. The record is from RNAcentral.